AGCCAAGAGCUGUACCGGUGCUGGUUCUGUCCCUGCCUGCUGCACUGCAGGACCCUCGGGUAGGAAGCCCAGGGUUGGAAGGGGGGGGGGGGGGGAGUUGGAAGCCAAAAUUGCUUUAAUCAGUGAUGAACUUUGCGGGGAUAAUCCAGGGGGAGUGAGUUCUGGGGAUGUGCUUUGCCUUUCAUUACAAACCUAGUGGUCUACUGGUUUUGUGUCUGCACAAGGCAGCCUAUAGAGUUCUUGUUGCUGUGAGUGCUGGAUGUCUGACUGUUCCAUGCCUGCCCUUCAGCUCCUGUGUCAGGGCCUCUCUGCUUGAGAUAAGACGUCCUUAUGAAACAAGUUAUACAUCAGAUACCUGGGAAUGUCUCUGCAUGUCUGUGUUGUGCAGUUCUUCCAGGAGCCAAAGAAAGCAUUUCUCCUGAUGAAACGCUGAGUGCCAGGAUCUCUUCCCAGCUGAGGUCUGUGAGCAAUUGCAGACAGCAAAGCCUUUCCGUUUUGCUUUGAUGGACAAAAAUGCGGUUGCCUUGAGUGUCAGCUGAUAGGAAAAGGAGCUUUAUUUCAGUUAUCCUCCACUGUUGUUUUCCUUUAAUUGAAGUUCAUGGUGGUUGCAAGUCCCCUCCUGACCUCAGCUCGUCCCCUACCUCCAUCUGCAGGUAGUGUGAUGUCACCGGAGGUGCUCUUCCUGCCCGGGCUCUCAGCCUGGUCCUGGCAGACUGUGCCCACAGUGGGGACACAUGGACCCUGCUGGGGACUCAGAUGUCACCGCCUGCUCAGUGUCCACUGCUGUGCCUGUCCAGUGCCCGCUGUGCCUCAUGCAUGUGCCCCGAAGAAGCACAGCUUCCAAAUGCGUGCUAAAAAAAGCAACGCAGGGUAAAAGGGAGGAGUUAUAAAUGAUACCAAAGCUAGAAGGAAGAUGGGGACAAGCAUGGGAUGAGUGUUGGCAGCAGAAUGGCUCUGUGCUUGGUCUGGAUCUGCAUGAGCAUGGGAGGUGCGUUGCUCUGCACCGCUCUCAUGAGCCCCUGCCUGUAGUACUACGCUCUGCUCUGGGCCUCCAGCUCAAGGAGAACAUGGAGCUGUUGGAGUGAGUCCAGAGGAGGCUCAGAGGGCUGGAACACCUCUUCUACAGAGUCAGGUGGUGGCCAGUCUGGAGAAAAGAAGGCUCUGGGAAGACCUCCUUGUGUCCUUCCAGUAUCUAAAGGGGCUGCUGAAAGCUGGGGGGGGGGGGGGGGGGGGACGGACUCUUUGUCAGGGAGUGCAGUGACAGAGAGAGGGGCAAUGGCUUUAAACUGACAAAGAAUCCUAAGUGACAGAACACCUCAUCUUGGAGGGGGCCCACACGGAUCUUUCGCUACCCCUCUGACCCUCCAUGCCAUUCCUCAGAGAGCAGAGCUCAGUGCUGCCCUCCGCUCCCUGCGAGGAGCUGCAGGCCGCCAUGAGGCCUCCCCUCAGCCUCUGCUCUGGGCCCAACAAACUCCUCACACUCUCAAACUCCUCUCACUGCCCUCAAACCCUUCCCCAUCGCCAUAGCCCUCCUUUGGCCGCUCUCUGACAGCUUUCUGUCCCGAUCAUGCGGUGCCCAACCUGCACCCAGAGCUCGAGGUGAGGUUUGAACACCACCUCAUAUUCCUCAGUACAUCUGCUGUGCUGACAGCAGCCUCUGGUCCUAAAGCUACGGCUGCCACUGCUCUAAGCACUUCUUACUAGCCCAUUUGCUUUGAAUUCCUACAGAUUUGUGUAAUCUGCCACCUGUGGGACUGGGGAAGCUCUGUGCGGGUGCUGGCAGCUUUGCCUGGAGAUUUGCUUCUUCAGAUAACAAAUCUCAAGACCAGCAGCUGAACCAGCACACACUGCCAUGUUAAUGAACUGUAAACUCAGAGCAUCUUAGCACACUUGGAAAAAAAAAAAAAAAAACCAUAAAUCAGAGUUACUUCUGAUUUCUUUCUCUCCUUUUUCCUUGUUUCGAGAGCAUGCAAGCAGCCAAUGAUUAGGUUUCUUUCAGCUCAUCGUUUCAGAAUGGGCCGCGUCACCGCCAGGCCCUGCGCUGCAGGGUCAGCCCUGAGCACAGAUAAACCCCUUCCAGAAGGAUGUUGGGGAGCCCUGCAAACAUGAGAAAACUGCUGCCACGGCGGCCGUGAAACCCAAACCUCUCGGAGCUGCAGGCUGGGAGAGUCACUGCUGAAGGGGAUGGGAGAAAGACUGAGCAGGGUUUCAGUGCAGCGCGAUGGGGAAUUGUGACCCUCCUGCCAAACCAUUGCUUCGAAUGCAAAUUUCAAAUGGGAUAACGAGCUGGAAAUUCAACUCAUUUUCAGCAAACAUGGGACAAUUCUUACAGAUUUGUUUUUCUUGCUGCGGGCAGCCACCACCUGAAGCACAACACAGAGCUCAGUGGAUGGAGCACAGCUCUUACACUUCUCCAAUCUGUUAUUUUUAUGCUAUUUCUGCAGCUUGUUAGGUAUCCUUGGCAGCAAAAAGGCUUUUGUUCCCCUCCCCCCGUUGUUUUUCCAAUAUGUAUUUGGUGUAACGGGGAUUUUUUUUUUGCUGUGAUACUUAGUUUUUGCACGGCAAAUGAAACAUCUGAAGAGAACAGCGCUCAGAAACUGAAUAAAGACAUGCAAAGCUGAGAUCCUGCGGCAGGGAUUUAAGAAGAAUAAAGGUGCUGCAGACAUUUCUGACACAGCCCAAGAACCUGAUCAAAUGCUGCUUUCCCCUGACCUUGUUCCUGGGAGUGCUGGAGCUGUUGGGGCUUCUGCUGCUGCUCGUAAAACUGACACAGUGUCUGCACAGAAUGGAAAGUUUUCACUUGCAAAGGUUCUGAGCAACUUGAAAGAGGCUCAGAAAGGGGCAGGGCCUGAGACAAGCUCAGAAAUGUGAAAGUAUUUUGGAUUACUGUGCCCAAGCCUCAAAUUUACAAGAUAUUUAAAACACAUGCGUACAUUUAGGCAUAUGAAUACGUGCACUGACUCAAUGAGAUCCUUCACUAGGGUAAAUGCAGGCAUAGGUUCACUUGUCUCACUGAAUGAGAAAUGUAGAAAUAAUCCAUGUACUUCCUCCUUGGGUCACAAAUAGUCACAAUGCAAACUUAGAGUAGACCCCAGCUUAGUACAUAGAGCAGAUGAUGCAAAAACUCUGACAAAUGCUACACCAGGUCUUAGACCUUGCUGACUGAUAGCACAAUAACUGCUUCUCCUUAAAAUCACACAGCCAUUAAGGUUGGAAAAGAUCACCACGAUCCCCAACCCCUGCCACCCCCCUCCAUGCCCACUGCCCACGUCCCUCAGUGCCACAUCUCCACAGCUCUUGAGCACCUCCAGGGACGGUGACCCCACCACUCCCUGGGCAGCUGUGCCACUGCAUCACCACUCUCAGAGAAGAAAUGUUCUCUGAUACCUACCCUGAAUCCUUCAGACAGGCUGAAGCAUGCAGGAUUUGGGCUGGUACACAUGGAGCAUUUCUGCUCAUCUCACUGCACUCCCAAAUAUUCUCACUUUUGAGGGUGAGGAGUGCACGGGCAGCAGCGUUGGGGGCAUUUGAUGCCCAUUCUUCACUGCAGUGUGGUUAAGUCAUCAGAACUAUGGUCACUUUUAUUGGUUAGUACUGGCCACAGUUCCUCAAUAUCUGUAUGUACUGAAACCCAGCAGCAGCAGAAGCACCUUGUUUUCCCAAUGAGGGCUUCAGAAGAGCCAUGGCUCCAGCACUGCAUCACACCUGGGCACCUGCUGUUCCCUGAGCUCACGCUAACCAGCCAGGCCAGGGGCUGCUCACGGAGCCGUAUCGAUCCACUCGUGUGUCCGGCAGGGCUCAUUGGGCUGAGCUGGCUGCUCUGUCAAUAUCCACAUUAAUCUCCCUGCAGACUCCACUCCAGCCACUUUGCAGCUUUGCUGAAGGCACGAACACAUUCCCCAUUCUCCUGCUGAAUUCACAGAGCUGCAGGUGCCUGCUCACUUCCCCGGCCGCAGCCGCGGUGUUGCUUGCCUGUAGGUGGGAACUGAAGGCUGAAUUACUUUCUCUUGUCUUACUGAUGGACUCAGUGCUGGAGUUGAUGUUUAUUGCUUCUGUGCAAGUCCUCGAUGUCCCUGUCACGUUCCCACAAGACACUGAGAUGUUUCGUUCUUGAUGUGAACCAACACCUUGGGAAGGGGCAAGUUGAACCGAGCAGAUUUCCCACCUUUGGGAGCAUAGGAAGUGCUGGGCUGUUGUGUAAAUCAUAUAGUGUUUAUUUCUGAUCAAGCCCUCUGCAGUGAACAGGGCACACCCACAGCUCCAUCAGGUGUUCAGAGCCCAUCCAGCCUCACCUUGGGUGUCUGCAGGGACGGUGCACAGCAACCUCUCUGGGCAACGUGUGCCAGUGCCUCACCACCCUUAUUACAAGCAACUUCUUCCUUAUAUCCCAUUUAAAUCUCCCCUCUUUUAGUUGGAAACCAUUUUGCCUUGUCCUGUCACAACAGCUCCUGCUGAGGAGUCUGUUCCCUUAUUAUUUGCAGUCCCCCUUUAGAUACUCAAAGUGUUCACCCCACAGUCCUGACAGCAAAGUCACGCUGCCUUCUGUUGGCAGGAGCUGCAGCCGAAUGCUCUGAUGCUCUGCGGUGCUCCGCAGCAGCACAUCACAGUGCAGCGGUAAUGCAAUGGGAUGGGGUGACAAGGUGGCCCUGGGUCAUGGCACGUUCCUAAUGGCGUGGUGAAGCCAUUUAGUUUUGAAGGGUUUAAUGAAAGUUUUGAGACCUUUAUUCCGGCACUGUCUUGGUGGUGUAUAGAAGUAAUACUGGAUUUUCAAAAUGCUCUUCGGAGGAUACAGGGGAGGACUGCUAUUAGUUGAAGAAUGCCAGGUAUAACGUGGCAAAGUGCCUCCUUAAGCUUUUUCUAAGCUGAAUUCAGUCACCAGCAUUGAGAAAUUCCCCUGCUGGGCUCUGGUCUACCACCCUUAUACAGCAGCUCCUUGCAGCCCUGCUCUCGGAUAGGCCACCAUGUUGAACCAGGCUCUGCUGAGAAAAGAGAGAGGAAUAAUGAAGUCAAUUAAGAAAAUUAAGAAAGGGUCAAAAAAAAGGAUUGAUCCACAGAUUGAUCAAGCUGGGGAUGCAAAGGCAUGAAUUGCCUUGCCCAUGGCCGUGCCUUUUCCCACCUCACCUCGCCAUGGCCCCUUCCCAUCUGGAUGGUCCCCCUCUUGCAGCCCUCUUCUUGCUGCUCCCGUGUUUCCCUGCAGCCCCUGUGUGGCCACGGCAGGAGGGCAAUGGUUUGGUGAGGGCUACAAAGCAGCUCUGCCAGCCAGCGAGCUGGCAUGGAAAAAUCCAGUUGCAGAUUUCCUUGAGCCCCGUAAACCCUUCCUCCCUUCCCUCCCACAAGUGCUCCCAUAAAUCUUACCUCCCUAUCACAGAGCCCCAGCCUCUCCUCCACCAGCAUGGAAACAGAAAGAGCAUCCUUCGAACUCUGAGCCAACCCAGCAGUUGGCUCAGAGACCCCUCACAAAGGGCUUGAACUGCAAUAUUUGCUUGCAACUUGUGUUUGCCUUGCAAUAGAGGCAUUAUUGCUUAAAAAGAAGGUAAUAUCUGUAAUUUCUCCAGGAGGGACCAGGCGGGACGUGGCUGUAUCAGCAAGGGACCUCGUUCUGCUAUGUGAACUACUAUGGAAUUCUUCAUUUCCCUUCGUAACUAUUCAUUAUCUUCCCUGUUUUUAGGGCACCUUCCCCAUGUGUUGUGGGCAUCCUCAGGCCUAUGGUACCACUGACACCACUGAAAUUACAUCCUGGGUGCAGAGGGAGCUUUGGCAGCCGCCUGUGCGGGGCUCACAUUAUUGCGGUGCAGAGGGAAAUGCCUCUGUGCUGCUGGGCUGCCUGCUUCCCCCAUCUGAUCUAUUAUUAACGAUGCUCCUGCCACUGAGCUCAUUAAGAAACGCGUUCCCCAGCUCCUUCUCGCCUGGCCCUGCCUCUUUUAAAAUUGAACCUUUUAAUUUGAAUGAAUCUUUAAUUCGGCUCUGUCUCCUUUCAUGGCCUCCCUAUAAAGAGCAAUUCCCCCAGUAGGACAAGGAGUUAUUUGAUCAGGUUGAAAUGGGGAUGUGUAGCCGUGGCGUUGAUCUGAUUUUGUUGAUGUGGCUGCAGGAUUUCAUUGCCUGCUCAUAGCAGGGAUGCGUAGUCAUAAAAAAGCAGAAGGGAAGUCUUAGGGUUUCUGGGUCUGCUCCGCUCAUCUCGGAUGCUUUCAGCACACGGGAAGGGCUCACUGCUGCUUUGGUUUCCUUGGUUUCUCUGGGGGAUGCAUCAUUUUCAGCUGUGCCUUUUUUGUGCUAGAGCUCUCCAUGCAACAGGAUGCUGGGAGGAAAGGAGUGGGUUUACGACAGACAACGGAUCCGUGGGGACUUUUUUUGAGGGGUGGGGUUAAUUGGUAUUUGUAGGUCCUGAUCCUCUUUCUGUGAAUUAAACAGCCACGGGAUUUGAGACUUUUUCUUCUUCCAGAGGGAUGAAUGGAGAGAGUGAAUGGAACCAAGCCAAAGCAUAGCAGUGGCUGCGGGCUUUGGCUAUGGAUGGGACCAGCUGGUGACCUCUUUGGUAGGGCAUGGCCAGGAUGCUUCUGCAAGGAGACGUGGCUGGGAACCCAAAAUCCCUCUCCUGCCCGUGCCCCAGCCCCUUCCUGCAAACACUUCUUACCAAGCAGCCAGGAUUGUCUGGAAAGCGUUCCUUGUGAGAGACAAACUGGAUCUUGAGCUCUCACCUCGGAGGCUCUAUUUGAGAGUACGCGCAGAGCAAGGGACUGCUCCUGCCUGGGAGAGGGACAUGGGCAGAGGAUGGAAAGGAUGGAGAGAAGACACAAGGAUGGCACCAGGGACAUCCUCAGCUGUGAGCUUGGGGGCCUGGGUUUGUAGGGGACAUCUCUCUGCUGUUACAAAGAAAAAAUAAUGAUAUAUAUAUUAAGAAAUUUUAGGAAGGACAGCAUUUCUCAAAUUUCACUUCAAUCUAACUAAAACAUGUUUCGUUUUGUCCCUGAAUGAUGAAUCUGUGCUCAUUUCCAGGUUACUUAGCCAGACCUAAAGCCAGAAGCAGAAGGAAACAGGCGAGCGCUUUCCAAGCCACAUGCUCUGCGUGCAGAUCAAAGCAAAACCUCCCCCCUCCUUCACAGGGGGUUGAUUUGACGUGGUUCUCCAGCUGUGAGCUGCUGUCGAGAGGUGCUCAGGACCAGAGCGGGGCUGUGUUUGGUGCUCUGACUGAUGGGCAACACGGCUGCAAAACCCCAGCCCCGCCGUGACCCAGCGCGUGGGUUUUGGAUAGGGCAGAAGCUCAGAGCAGGUGGUGGGCAUCCUCUGUGCCUUGCUCCAUCCUGGGGACUGCAUGCUGUCUGCAUGCUGCUGCCAGAUCCCUGCCACGGGCACCAAUAUGCUGGACCAGAAUACCAACGAGUAUACUCCAGUUGCCCUGUUGCAUUCAGCCUGCCCCACUGGGCAACAUCUCUGCAAACCAUCCGUAGCCCAGUCAGUCCCUUAUCCCUCGGGCUUUCACUGAACCCUUUUGUCCGAACCCUUUCCCAAGGCUAUAUGAGCUCUUCGCAUUCUGCUGCUCCUUUUUCCCCAGGAGAGUUUCCUUGAGGACCAUCCACCCCCAAAGACAAUGUCAUCCCCAAACCUGCUCAACCAACUGCCCUACAAACCACCAUCACUGUGGGACAGAGAGCUGGGCUCGUCCUUCAGCAGCCUAUGCUGACCACAGCACUAGGGCCAACUAGAGUGGCCCAAACCCAUGGAAUAACUCAUUUACCCCUUCCUAAAAUCGCUCUCGGAGCACAGUUGAUCAUUUAUAAGCCUUAACUCCUACAGCCAUGCGGGCCCAAGGAAGGAAGGGCAUUAAAAUUCCACUUGAUGCUCACCAGGCCUGACUAAUAAAAUAAUGUCCAACAAGGACAUCAAUUAGCCACCGAUUCGCUAACGCUUUGCAAGGCUAAUGACAGCUGGAGCGAGGAAUUUGAAACCCGAGUCAUUUCUCCAGCCUGCACCAGGGUGCCAGGGAUAAAAGGUUAGUCAUGUGUACCAAAUGCAGUGUGAGCUCCUCCAUUAUUUAUGUGUGUCAAACAGACAAGGAGCGUUUCAAUGCCUGCAGUCGCUCUAUGGUAAUUUGUUUUAUAUAAACAGAUAUAAUCUGGUCAUUAAUACACAUAAUUCUGAGGGAGCUGACAGUAAUGAAUCUGGAGUAUAUGAUUGCAUUGACUCAUUCCCUUCCUAAAUAAUAGUCGGUAUUAAUAAGAGCUGAUGUAGCCGGCAGCACCCAGGAGUUUCGUGGUGGACUCAAGAUGGGUGGCUUUCUCUUUGCUUCUUGUCCUAAGCUUUUCAGCCAGGCUAUCCUAUAAACUAAUGGGAUUUAAGAUCCUCUCUCACAAGGCCAAGUCUCUGCUGUUUCCUGGCUCGGGACUGCUCGUGUUGCAUCAAUCACAGCUUGGCACUGCACGCCCCGCAUCUCUGGCUCUGGUGAGCUGGGCUGGGCUCAGUGGCUUUCCUGUUCUCUCCCACCUCUCAGGAGAAUGUUUUUGUUCACUGUUAGUAAUUGAGGGUUUAUUUCUGUAGUGGUGCAACGGGCGUUUUCUGGGAAAGUGGAGGUGGGUGUGUAUGGACAUUGCUUGGAGACUUGUCUUGCCUCAUGUACAUCAGAUCAGUGCUGUAGAUUUGCUUCCCUUGUGAGGCACUGCAAGUCGAAGGUACUGGUUGGCACAUGCCCCAACUUGCAAACCACAGAUGAGCAGGGUGGCUUGGCUAUUGACCCUUGAGCCGAGUGGCCAGUAGGAUAUGUUUGUUUGACUGCUCACCCUUAAAAUCGGAUCUGCCUACUCACAUGGGUGUGUGGUCAGCCCAGGCUCAGUCAGGGAGAUGGACAACAGAGGGGUGGAAGAGAGUCCAACCACAUGCUCAUUGAGCUGUCCUGGGCUCUCCCUUCCUCUGGAUCUGUUUCCAUCAGUAAAAGGCUUAGGUGACUAACUCUGCCUUCCCAGGCAGCUCUGAGGAUGUUUUUGGAGCUCCCAGGAGGGAUGGAGCUCUGCUAAAGAGCAGGGAAGAGGCUGAGGAUUAUGGAGUUUCUAAACCAGCUUUGCAAUAAGCAAUCUUGGUUAACAAACCCGGAUGAGGUGGGUCUAGGAGUGUCCAGCUGGAAAGGCGAGCACUUGAUCCCACAGCAAGCCCAAGCCCAGGAUCCAUAAGGGUGUUAUGCUCAUUGAUCCUGACCCACCCAGCUCCUGGACCUGCUUGCUGCUCUGAGGGGCUGUGGCUCUCGCAUCCCAUAGCCAGCAGCAGCGCAAGCUCUGCAUCACAUUUCAUCUAUGGGAUCCCACUGCUUCAUGAGGGCUACUCCCAGUUCAUUAUCUGUUCUUGCCCAACAAACGUCUUGGCUGUGUCUCUGCAUGAGAGAUCUCAGCGUUGCUCACAUCAACAGAGCAGGAACGGGAAAUUUCAAGGUAAAAGCCCACUGUGGGCAAUACUGCAGGUUGGACAAACCCAUUUAUUUAAAAAUAACGAGCUUCAGUCUAAUGAUCACCUUAGCUACCACUGGAGUGAAAAAUAUGUCAUCAGCCCCAUAUGAUGUCUCUAUGCCAUCUGGCUGCUCUCAAAAGACGCACACUGAAAACGGUGCCUUCUCUGCAAGGCUGUUUUGCCCCCCCUGCAUAGAAAACAAGAAGUUCCCCUGUAAUUAAAAAAUAUUUAAAAAAAAAUCAAAAAGCCAAUUCUUCUGGCUGUCUCCUGCCUCCUGUGCCCUUGUGUUUCCCAUACGGAUGACCUAUAGUUCCUACCUUCUGAUUUGUAUUCACUGCUCUGAGCUCCUCUCUCCCCGCCUGGCUCCAAAAGGACCCUUGGAUUCCCUGCUUGGUGAAGCAGGGCUUGCUGACUGAACCAGUGCGAUAGUCCUCUGAGUUCUGAGACUGCAGCUUUUAGUGAGUAUAGAGAAACGUUCUUAAACACUGCCUAAUUUUCAUUUUUGUGGUUUUUCUUUGGUUUCCCCCCCCCCCCCCCCCUUUUUAAAUUCCUUCUCUGAUGUGAUUUGCCUCACGAGCAUUUUCAGGUUUGUACAGCAGCCUGGGAGAGCAGCAAGGCAAUAUCUUCCUGGGUUUGAUUUUAUUCCGUCUGCACAUAACAAACGUUUUCAAGUGGCAAUCACUUCCUACCUCAGCUACUGUGUGUUUUUAGUCCUGUGAUCAAAUUCUCUGUAUCUGACAAGAAAAAAAAAAGGUCUACCAUGCAAUUCCCUCUGUUGGAUGUGAGAGUUCUUUUGAGGUGGGGAACAAUCACCAUCAUCUUUACAAACAAGGAGGCUGUUUCAGCACUGGAGGCAGCUUCACUGCAGAAUUCACUGCCUGUGAAGUCUCCUGGUGACAGCCUGGCCCCUUUCCCCCCUCGCCUUUAGCAGGCACUCGGGAGACGUUGGGCUGGUUUGCAGGUUGGAUUUUGUGCUCCGCUGCUGAUACCGAUUGGUCUCUUUUGUGCUUUGAUGAUGGGGCCACCAAUUUUCAGAUUAAUUUGCUACCGAGUCCAAUGACCUGGAUGCUCACAAUCCCAUUUCUAACUCUUCCCCUUCUUUUUCCCACUCCAGCCUUCCCAGAAGCCCUGCUUGUAAUGCUCCAAUCAGCUUCCCACCGGGUUUCCACCACUCCAGCUAUGCUGAACUCAUCCCUGCACAAAAGCCAUUCCCUCUGUUUAUCAGCCAGGACCUACCUUUGGUGGAGGAGGAGAUGAAAGAGUUUCUCUCCCUUUCUUUCAGAGCUUUGAUUAAUUUUCUUCUCAGCACCUUCAUUAUGUGCUAAAUGAGUUUCCAUUUGUUCCCUCUUUGCACCUUUCCCUUUUGUUGUUUGUCUAACACCUCCCUGCCCGAGGCAGCCUGUCUCUCCCUCAGCAAAUCAGUUUCCAAUGUGGGAAGGAAGCAUCCAAAAUCCUCCAAGCCCUCUUUUGGAGUGCUUUGCCAACGACACUCAUCUUGUCACUUCAAUGGUCAGCUUUCCCACCAAAGAUCUUCUGUUCUUCCUCACUUACAGGAGAAGCGGAAUCUUAAAGCUGCUUGGGGCACUUAUUUUUCAUCAUCCUUGGGAGUGAUGUGGCCUAGAAAACAAGAUAAGCUGUGAUUUAGGGGCACUGGUGUCUGUUUCAGUGAUGCGCCUGCCCAGAGCCACCACAAGGUAGAUGUGGCUUUCUUUUUCAAUGGGUCCGACCCCUUGGAAAGCUGGUUCAGCUCGGGAAAAUAGCAGAGAACGAGCAAAGGGAAGAACAGAAAGAACAAAAGGGAAGCCCAGUGGGUGCCCCAGCAGCCCCCCCGCAGCACCCAGGCAUCUCGCUUGGGGCAGCUCUCUUUGCUGGCAAGGCAGAUUGACUUAAUUUCAGCUUAUGUUUGAAAGGCAAUUAAUUUCACUGGAUUUAUCCCAUUGAUUUUGACUCCCGUUCAGAAAAACGCUUCCUCUCCCUCCCAGACCACAGCAUCUGCGAGCAUCCUAUUCAUCACCAAACACUCCAGCAGAUGCAAAGCAUCCCUUGGAAACUGCUGUGAGGGCUGCACACACACUGAGGUGUUCCGCGGAACCGGGGCCUCUCUAAGCGAGAAGAGGCCAUUAGUUUUGGCUCAUUAGCUAAACCGAGAUGACUAUUAAAUCCCACUCCUCCCGCCACCUUCUGUAAAAUAAACUUAGAAAUGAGCCAUCUUUGCAGCUGUGACUGGUAAUAAAUCCAAUUAAUUUCCA
Gallus gallus (chicken) is the source of this 11678-nucleotide long non-coding RNA. RefSeq lists it as uncharacterized. NCBI's taxonomy places the organism in Eukaryota, Metazoa, Chordata, Aves, Galliformes, Phasianidae. The transcript is spliced from 3 exons. The record is from RefSeq and is a predicted model, not a curated record.